Molecule: ribosomal RNA, 460 nt
Filed under: uncultured bacterium
Lineage: Bacteria
Description: partial 16S ribosomal RNA
Rfam family: Bacterial small subunit ribosomal RNA
Source: RNAcentral
CCUACGGGAGGCAGCAGUGAGGAAUAUUGGUCAAUGGGCGAGAGCCUGAACCAGCCAAGUCGCGUGAAGGAUGACGGCCCUACGGGUUGUAAACUUCUUUUGUCCGGGAACAAUUGAGUCCACGUGUGGUCUUAGCGAGAGUACCUGAAGAAAAAGCAUCGGCUAACUCCGUGCCAGCAGCCGCGGUAAUACGGAGGAUGCGAGCGUUAUCCGGAUUUAUUGGGUUUAAAGGGUGCGUAGGCGGAAUAUCAAGUCGGCGGUAAAAAUUCGGGGCUAAACCCCGUCGUGCCGUUGAAACUGGUGUGCUUGAGUGGGCGGGAAGUAGGCGGAAUGCGUGGUGUAGCGGUGAAAUGCAUAGAUAUCACGCAGAACUCCGAUUGCGAAGGCAGCAUGCCGGCGCCCAACUGACGCUGAAGCACGAAAGCGUGGGUAUCGAACAGGAUUAGAUACCCUGGUAGUC